UUGCAUUGGUCCCCAUGCAGAGUUAGUUUCAGUAUUCUGUUGUACCGUAGGCCACACAGGAAGUGAGAGUCCCGGUCAAAAUGCUGACCUAACUGGAUCGGCUCCUGACCCCACAGGGAAGUGUCGCUGCAAGAGUAAACAGGAGGUUACCCCAGAGCACCUGCUUCUCUCUUCCAGUAGCUCUCUGCAGACGGUCCAAACCGGGGUGCCAUGCACAUUGCUGGAAACAGCCUUGGGUGCCCUUCAGGGGACGGAGUGGAGAAGAAAAGAGGAGGACAGGAAGUUAGGAUAGCGAGCCUCCACCCCUACAGGAAGAGCUCCAGGCAAUUAGCAACCCCUGAGAGAUGGGGAGACAGAUUCUUCCUCAGGGAUGAACCCUUAAUUGGUAGAAAUGGUCAGCCCCAGAAACAUGUACACAUGAGCAACAAAAAAAUGGACCCAGCAGCUUAAUGGAGUUGACAACCCUUGCUACGUGAAUUCAUGGAACUCCUUGGCUGUCCCCUGACUCUCUCCACUUUCAAGGAGUUCCUCUUCACUAAUUCAAAAGGUGUUGGGGUCUACACCAGAGGACGAGUCAGGUCUGUCUCUGCCUGAGCUGCUACUCGCCGAAUGGAGACAGGAGCAAAAGUGACUUCAAUUGUUUUGGCCAGAGCAACCAGAGGAGUGAAAUUACUGUUGGCAGAGAAGGGGAAGACAGCCAGAAAAAAACACUGAGACGUCGGUAGCUAAGAAGGACAAUGGGAACGCCCCUGGGAACCUGAAGAGAAGCAAGAGGAGCCUAUAAAGGAGAUAGCUCGAAAGGAGGCUAUGAAGACAAAGGAGAAUGUCUGAGAUUUCCAUUUGAACUACCACAGUAGCCUCAGCUUUUAAAAGUAUCUCUCACAUCUCUCCAUAACUCUGUUUUCCAUGACUGGUCGGGCCGUACCCACAUUUCUGUCUUGGCAUCACUCGUGUGGGUAUUGCUCUAUAGCGCAGCGCUGAGCGCCGGGGAUGCUGUGUCGGACUCUCAGAACUUAAAUCUUGGUUUCCCGACUUGGUGUCUUCUGGCCCGAGAAGAUUGUUUAAGUUCUCGGCCUCUCUUUGCUCAUCUGAAAAUGAGUAAUUGUCUUUCCCCGCCGUGGGUGUCCUGGGGAUUAUGUAAGAUAACGCAUGUGAAGCAAACAGUAAUUAUUAGAGUUUAUUUUUAUUACCGUCACCCUCUUCAUCCUCCAUGAGGACAUAAGUUUUCCAAGGGACAGCGCUAUUAUGUUUAUCUUGUGGGCCUAAUGAUUUCUUGUAUACCGUAGGUUUUUAAUAAGUGUUUCGAGGGAUAGAGUCCAGAUUCAAACAGUUCUCGGUGUGUUGCAAGUGGCCGGUGGACUUCUCGGAAAAUCACCUCUUCUUGAAAAGCUGGGAACUGAGCACACUGUCUUUGAAGGCACUGUCAAGUGUCAGCACUUGCUAGAUUGGAUUGUGCUGUCCUAAGAUCUUCCCAGGGUGCAUUUAGGAAGCUGGCAGGGAACCUGGAAGCACGAGGAGAUUCACGGCCUUGGAAGUCAGAUGACCGAAGUUCUCAACAGGGUCUGGGGAGAAAUCCAUCGUUCCAGGUCCUUCUGUGUCACAUUCUGGUGACUUGCUUUUUCAAUGCCGUGUAGUCAAACAGAGACACAGCAAAAAAAUUAGUUAGGCAACUCAUUUCUAUUAUUAUUUUAGAGAGGCUUUAUGAAUGGACUAGGCCUUUACUAAGUUGAAUUGCUUUGAAAAUAGUACAGUCAGGACUAGGGUUGUAGCUCAGUGGUAGACAGGUUUAAGAAAAGGAGUUCAGCUGGGCCCUGGUGGCUUAUGCCUUUGAUCCCUGCUUGGGUGGCUGAGGCAGGCUGGUCUCUUGAAUUUGAGGCUAGCCUAGGCUACAAAGCAAGUUCCAGGGCAGCCUGGGUUACAUAGAGUAACCCUGUCUCAAACAAAACAACCAAAAUCAAGCCAAACCAACCAAAUAAUAAUAAUAAUAAUAAAAACCCCAACAACCUGAGUUUGUGGUCAUCAUCAACACCAACACCAACACGGUGCAUUGUUUUUCAGUGGUACAAGCUGAUACUGACUGUAGAAGACUGCAGAAGUUAUUUAGGUUUGGCAGACCGUCCCUUUGGAAGAGCAUUUCCUUUUGUGGAGACAGCAGAACUGACUGUGUUAUUAAAACCCACUGUGAUGAUAAAACACAAUGAAUCAGAGAAAUUAAUAGCCGAGUUAGGCUUGACCAUGGACACAUAGGACACAUGAACUCAUUCUAAGGGAAGCUGUAAUAAUUAUGUAUAAAUAUCUGAAUAAUAACCACACUCCCCAAAUUAUGUGGAAAUUAUACCCCUUUCAAGAAACAGUUCACAUAGCCAUUAUCAACUGAGCCAGCAUGUAGUGGUGGGGACAUAAUAUCUCCACAAAACAUUUCCAGAAAGAGAGAGAGAGAGAGAGAGAGAGAGAGAGAGAGAGAGAGAGAGGCAACUUUCCUUUAUUCACAUUCAGUUGUGAAAUUCAUUAUAUCACAGAAAUAAAAUACCUCAGAGGCACUGGCUCCUGCUCGCUCAGUAAACUAAUCUAUAUUUAGAUGCAAUUUAGUGGCUUCCAGAUAGAUGUAUUUCCUUCAGAAAAGGACUUCUCACAGUCCAUCCUAAGUGACAGGGCAGUGGCUGUUUCUAAGGAAAAUUCAAGGAAUUUGUGAUGUCAUCUCGGGUGUGCCAAUCCCUCAAUUAAGAGAGGACCAGAGGACUUGGUGAUCCCCGCACAAACGAAGGGCGUGCAUCCUCUGCGUCUCCUCGCGCUGGGUCGCAGUUCGCAGUUCGCUGCGACCACAGUGGGUGUCUAGAAAGUAAAAGGGAGUGUUCUGUUUUAUGUAACUUGACUUUGGAAGCUCUGAUGACAAGUAACUCCUCUCUAAAGCUCCACUUAGGAACCAGCGCUGAAAACCAGCUGUUAGCCGUCCGCCCCCGCCCCUCCCCCGCGCCGGGCACUUCUGCCUGUGGGUUCCCCCUUUGUUUUUAAAUGAUUUUAUUUUUGGUAAGAGUUAGGCUUCCCGAGCUCUAAAAUACAUGGAAACCUCCUGCUGUCUAUUCGAACGUUGGACGCUCUAACAUUUAAAAAAGAAAAUCGUGAUUAAAUUGGUGCAUCGUACGUGAUAAGGCCGAGGAAUGUUUUCUUAUUAAAGUUGGCACCAGAAUCCUUCUCAGAAUGGGAAAUGUAUUUACUUUGAAAAAUACCCCGAGAGUUUGGAGAGCAGAAGAGAGCUCCUGAGGGUUUGGGGUGUGGGCGGAAUGUUUCUGAGACAAAGGCAGCGAUUUGGCAGGAACUUCAAGCGCGUGGGGCUGGGGAGGAGGAGAGGGCUGAGCCAAUGGGAGGACCAGCCUGCCCGCAGCCCCUCAGUCCCACUGUGGUCCUCCACCCUCCUGUGACCCAACUCCCAAAGUAUUCGGUGCAAGUCAGUUGUUUUGCUGUUGUUAGAGAGCCUAGGGCAGGCCUGUGGAUCAGCCGAGUGGAUCUGAGUCCCAGAAAUAAUGACGUCAAGACCGUGACCUAAAGUCUGUGAAGUCAUCAGCUGAAGUAAGCCACCCUGCCUUUAAGUUGAUGUUGUUAGGUACGCUGUGAUGGAAAGCAAACGAAACGUGAACAUAGUUUCGCCAGACUGUGAUGGGUGAUGUGCACUGUGGCACUGGACUGUGCUAAUAAGUAAAUAGCAAGUUUGUUUCAUAAGCUUAGAAACAUCUGUUCUGGGCGGGGCAUGAGAUCGCUGAAAGAUGGAGGAAAGGAGAAACAGCAGUAACAAACCUCCAAACCAACAGGCCCAUCCCCCAGCCAGGGACUGGAGAAGAGAGAGGGUGAUGGGAGAGAAACAGGAAAGCAAGCAGCCUGUCGUUGCUGCUGUGGUGGUGCACAGCUGUAAUCCCAGCACCUGAGGGAUGAAGGCUGGAGGACCAGGUCAAGGCCGUUAAGGGGGUUCUAGGCUAGCCUGGAUUACAAAACAUUCUGUCGCAAAACUCAAGCUACCGACAAACAUGAGAUGGAUUAAAACAAAACAAUUUAAACCAGAGAUAAACUAGAAGAUGUAACUGAGAUACAGACCGUAGGCAUUAAAAAGGUGGGAAGGCGGUCCUAGCACCAGAGACAAUGCGAGAAGACUGCCAGACAAAGAGAGAACUUUGCAUUUUUACACAGUGAAUGCAUGGGACAGCCCCUCUGCCCUUGUGCACAGUUUCAUUUUCCUAGGUUUCAGUCUCGUGUAGUCAUAGUCUAAAAAUGAAUGGAAAAUGACAGAUAAUGACCCUUUCUAAGUUUAGAGUUGUGUGUGUCAUGAAACCGUUCACUCUGUCCCUCUGUCUCACUGAGGACAUCCCCCCUGUCCCCUGUGGUGUGCAGUGCAUCCAGGCCAUAUACACUGCCCUCCUGUUCAUCACUCUGUACCUUAGUGUUCCAGAGCGGCAAGGUACCGAUACAGAAGAGUCACCAGGGCAAAGCCCGCGGAUUUAACUCUGAUGCUAUGUGGCAAUAACGUGUAUUUAGCUUUUGGCCCUAGUUGUGGUCGAGGCAUCCACUGGAGGUCUGGGAAUGUGGUUCUGCAGGAGGUUCAGAAUGUAUAAUACGAUUUCACAUGCGCUUUCUCAUAGGCUCCAUAUAAGAGUCCAGAUGGAUGGUUUCUUAUUAUCCUUUAUGUAUGGAAGAAGAAAGUAUAAUGAAAAUGGCUCGGUGACAGGCAAAGUGGUACAUUUAUUGGUAGAGAUUCUCAUAAUUAGAAUACUUUAUAUUAGAUUGAAAAUUUGAAACCAUGCAACACUCAGCCAUUCCAGGGAAAAUUAAUAAUGAUGUUUUUAGACAUCUUUAAUUUCUUUCACAUAUGGACUAAACUGAUGAGAUUGGACUUCCAUAUUUCCAAGAAGACGAAACAGAAUGGCAAACUCUGAUGACACUCUGAAAUUGGUCAUAGAUUCUUCAGUUCCUAGAAAAGCUGCUGGCUGUUCCAAACUUAUUUUCCCCAGCCUAAGAGAAAUCAGAAAAAUAUAUCUCUCCCCAAACAACAAAACUCCAAUAAAAAAACCAACCUCCCCCAAAAAAAUCUCCAAACCCCUUCCU
Molecule: long non-coding RNA, 5091 nt
Organism: Mus musculus (house mouse)
Lineage: Eukaryota; Metazoa; Chordata; Mammalia; Rodentia; Muridae
Product: predicted gene, 32605
Exons: 7
Source: RefSeq, a predicted model, not a curated record